UUGAGUCGUUAUAUUCUAAUGACACCAUCAUUACUAAAAAUAAUUUUGGAAUCCACAUUAGUACUAUAAAAGCCAGUUUUUAAAUUACACUUCCCAAAUCUCAUUUUAAACAAAAAAUAUUACUAAAUUUGGUGUUUUGUUGUUUUCCAGAAAUUUCAAGUAUGAAGAUUUUCCUACUAUAUUCUGAAAGAAUGUGCUUUAGAUUGACAACACUUCCAAAAAUUUUUUCCCUAAAGGGCAGCAUGUUGUGAAGUACAUCAUUUUUUUUUUUUUUUUUUGGUCUUUUUGAUUUUUAUCAGUACCAGGGAUCGAACUCAUGACUGCCUGCUUGCAAGGCAGGCGCUUAUGCCGCUGAGCUAAAUCCCCAGCCCCGAAGUACAUCAUUUUCAAAGGUAACUCUUCCACAGGGAACACAUUCAUUGAACACAUUUAUUAUUUCCAUGCUUGCUAGAGAAUUUCUCAGAUUAAUAUAAUUGAAUCUUUUAAGGAUCUCUUGGGCUUGUCAUCUUUUAAGGAUCACACAAAGAUCACAUAAAAGAAAUGAAUCACAGUGGUUUUUUAAAACUUCAUAGAGCAACAGAUGGAUUACAAACACUAGCCAUCUUUUUUUGUAUGUGUCAAGUCAUAAACCUCUCAUUUUUAGCGUGUAUCAAUUGUUAAAGUUAUCUUCACUGAAUACAGCAAAGUCUUGUUUCAUUAACAUUCAAAACUGCUUUAUUUUUAAGUUAGAUACCACAAAAAACAAAAGCACUUAGAUCUUUUGGCCCAGGUCAGAACUCCAAUUCUAAUCACUAGUGUCAAGUAAAUCUUCUUUUAUACAAGUUAUGCAUAUCUAAAAUUAAAAUUAUGUAUUGCAAACAUGCCAGUAAAAAUUUAAAAAUAAAGUAUCACUGAAUAGUUGCAUACACAUAGUAAUUAAGCCUAGGUUCAUUUAAGUGACCUACAAAAUGUAACACGGUGUGCUAGAUUUUCUGUGUGUUCAGACAAAGACAUCUAAAACCUAGAAGUUUAAAGUGAAAUGUAUGAGUAGAACAAUAAUAUUACAACAUGGUCACUGUUAAAUAGUAACAGAAUCUACUACAGUUUGGUACAGGAAGGACUUAUCAAAAUUUUUCUGUACAGAUAGACAAUAUCAAAAACUGGGUGAGGAUGUGGCAAAACUAGAAUUCUCAGUGUAGGACAAUAAAAUGAUGUAGCCACUUUGAACAUGGGCAAUUCCUCAAAGGUAAAACUUAGAGGGCUGGGGAUUUAGUUCAGCGGCAUAAGUGCCUGCCUUGCAAGCAAGCAGUCGUUGAGUUCGAUCCCUGGUACCGAUAAAAAUUUAAAAAUUAAAAUUAAAAAAAAUAUAUAUAAAAAAAGAUAAAACUUAAAGAAUUAUAAUAUAGGGAUUCCAUUCCUAGACAUACAGUGUAUCUAAAAAAAUGGAAAACACAGGUCUAUACAAAAACUCAUACACAAAUGUUCAUAGCAGUAGUAUUCUUAAUAGUUGAAAAUGGAAGUAAUGCCCACUAAUAAAGGAACACACAAAAUGUGGUAUUAUCCACCCACAUUGUGGAAUAUUAUUCAGCUACAAAAAGGAUGUUCUAAUACAAGACAAUGAACCCUGAAAUCAUUAUGUAAAAGAAAUCAGUCACAAAAUAGCACAUAUGUCUGAUCCAUUCAUAUGAAAUACCUAAGCAAACAAUUCAUAGAGAAAGAAAAUAACUUAGUAGCUGCCAGAGCUGGGGAAGUUGGAUGACAGGAAAGUGACUGCUAAUAGGUUUAUUUUAGGGGAAGGAAAACAUCUGAAUAAGAUAAUGGUGACAAACAACUCUUAACAUGCUAAAAUCCAUUCAAGUAUAUACUUUUAAAGGGUAAAUUUUAUAACAUGUCAGUUAUAUGCAAGUAAAGCUUUUUUUAAAAAAAACUUGCCUACAGAAAUCAUACUCAGGUUACUGAGACAGACUCUGAAUCAAGGUGGACUAUGGGGGACAGGGAUUUAGCUCAGCAGCAUAACCACCUGUCUGGCAAGCACGAGGUUCAAUCCCCAGUACCAGGAAAAAAAAAAAGUGGACCAUGUUAAACAAAGAGCAUGGCAUGAUGGCAGGGCAGGGUGAGGAAGACAAUGGUGAGGUGGCCAGCAUAGCUGGAACAUAAGGUCAGGAGUCAGUAUCAAAUCUGCAGCACCCUUAACGGGCAUUACUAUACCCCAUAAUAACUAACCAGCCUUUUCUUACUAAGUUUAAAUGACCAAUUAAGACUUCUUUUUUUUGAGCCAGGAUCUUGCUGUGUAGUGCGGGCUGGCCUUGAACUCACUGCAAUCCUCCUGCUCAGCCUCCUGAUUGCUGGGAUUACAGGCAUGUGCCACCACACCCAGCUGAAACAAAUGAUUUUAAGACUAUUUUUCUACCACUCUAGUAGAAAUGCUCACUUGGCACUUCUGGGAAGAUUUGGUAGCUUUUGCCAACCUCUAGACCUAUGUAUGGCAUGCAUGCCACUGAAAGUUCUAAAAGGUUCACCAUCGCUGUGCUAGUGAUGAGACACUCCACAGCACACCAGUGACAUACUUUCUGAGAAUAGUCCACAAGCUUACCAGGUUUAUUUGGAACCAACAUCGUCCCAAAAUAAUUUCCAAUAUUUUGUUUUAGCUGAGCAAUCUCGAGAGUAGAAUGAGCAGUAUAAAGUUUAUGAAGAGACCUAUAUGAAAUGCUAAGGAACAAAGGGGACUUUUGAAGUGUGGUAUAUACAUGAUUGUAUAGAAUACAAAAUAAGUAUUUAGUACUUCUACAUUUCUUUUUGUUUACCUGUUUUCUAGUUAUGGUAAUCAAGAUAGUUUCCAUUCAUAAUGCAAAUCUUCCUUAAAAGAAAAAUCGUAAAAUUUUUAAGAAAAUAAUAUAGAUGGUUAUAAAGAAUUGGCAAAAAUCCUAAACAUUGUAUACUGAAUACUAUAAGUAUAAAAACUUAAUAAAUAGGAGCAUAGAAAGAGGUUCUACCUGGAAGUGAUAUGGCCACAUUACAGAGCAAUCAUUCUAGAAAUGGGAAGGUGGAGGACGGGAGGCAACAAUCUCCACCAGUCAGCAAAUCGCAGCCAACUGGCAAUGUUCUAUAAGCAAGAAUGAUUCUUACAUUUACUAUCUGGUCCUUUACAAAAAAGUCUGCCAAUUCCAGCUUAGACAAUGGAUAAAAUUCCCAACUAAGCCUGCUGGAUGAAGGUAUAGCAUAAAAAAAAACCUCUGAUGCAAACUUAACAAGACUAAGAUUCAUCAGAUGUACGUGGUUUAAGAGCACGUAAAAGUAAAAAUGUUAAUGUUUCUAUUUAAAACUCAAGGGAGAUAAGGACACCCAGAUAAGAAAGCUGGAAGGAAGUCAGUAUCUUCAAGUUAAGUCAUUUUUGAUUAUGAAAAAUAAAUGACAACCUAAAAUCACACAAGUGACUUAUAGCCUUACAUCAUUCAAAAAGAAGCUUACUCAAGAGAGGGGCUUGCCUUACUAUGUGUUUUGUAACUAACGGGUGUUCCUUUUCCUGUAUGAGUUUUUUUUAAUAGUUACAUCUUCAAGCUUAUUAAAUAUUCUUUCAAAGAUAGUUCUGUAGAAGAAAAAAAAAUUUUUUUGGUACCAGUAAUCAGACUCAGGACGUUAAGCUUGCCAGGCAGGUACUUGUGCCAAUGAGCUAUAUUCCUGACCCUCCAGUAUGAGAUUUCUAAAAUGAAGAAGCUGAUAUAUUUUUGUAGGAGAAAAUGUUAUUUUCUGUACAGAUCACUGGGUUUAAGUAUGACAUAACAGCAUCCAAUCUCUUAGCUAAUCUACAUCUCGGAAGCUUCGGAAUCAAAGCAAGUUGUGGUGGCACCUGAGGAGUAUCACCAGGAGUUCAGGCCAGACUGGCCUACACAGUGAGUUCACAGCCAGCCUGAACUACAUUGAAAGGCACUGUCUCAAAGAAGGAAAUAAGUAAAUUUUUAAAAAGAUACAUCAUCAUUAUGAUGAUGAGUUUUUUUUGGAACUGAGAAUUGAACUCAGGACCUUGUGCUGCUGAGGUAUAUUCUCAGCCCUCUAGUGAUUUUGCUCAUUAGGUUAUUUUUCUCCAUUUUCUUAAAAAUUGUGGAAUAAUCAUAUGUAAAGGCAGAUAAAAAGCUUUCUAGAAACAUGACAAAAUGAUUCAUUUGAAAGGAAUCUUAAUAUGUAAAGAUACUGCUCUUAUUAUAACUACUUGCUAGUCUUCAAACCUCAGUUCCAAAUACAAGAAAUUUAGACUUACUGGAUUUUUAUAACAAAGCACGGCUACCCAUUUACCAAUUGUUGAACAUUUUAAUAAAUGCCCCAGAAAUAUUACAGUUAACACAACAAAUCUACAGAUGUGGUAUAGCUAUAAUCUCUUAGUUGAAGCACAUAGGGAAAGAUGUAUUUCUGAAUUCAGAAUUGCUCAGAUUUUAGAAAGACAACAGUGCAUAUAAUCUGUUUAUAGCAGUUAGCAUUUCAAUAAGAAAAAUGUGGCACACUUAAACUGGGACAAAAGAGAUUAUGUAUAAAAGAGAAGGGAAGAUUUAAGUAAAUUAGCAAAGACAGUGAAAUACUAGUCUGAAGUAGGAGGGGGAAGAGAGUAAUUACUAGAAAGCAAAAAAAGAUAAAAACAGUAAUAUUCAUGGGUGAAUGCAUGCAGCCAUUCGACAGUAACAGGGAAGAAAGGGAGCCUAGAGAAUAUGUACUUCAAUCUCCCUUUCUUUCUUUUCUUUUUUUCUGAGACAGGGUCUUACUAUGUAGUUUUGGCUGGUCUUGAACUCACUAAAUAGCCCAGGCUGGCCUCAAAUUUGCAGUGAUCCUCCUAUCUCAGCCUCCCGAGUGCUGGGAUUACAGGCUUGUGCCACCAAGUCCAGUCAAUUCUACCAUCUUCUAGAGUCUUUUUUUUUUUUUUUUUUUUGGUACCAGGGAUCAAACUCAUGACCUUGCUAGGCAGGCACUUAUAUCAUUGAGCUAAAUCCCCAACCCAAUCUUUUACAGUCUUUUAAGUUUACUUCUAGGAGACAGUGAUGGAAGAAAGCAAGAAUGGAUGAUUUGAACAAAGUUAACAUACCCUGAAGUGAUAAACAUCACUGGAAUCUGAAUUUUAUUGACCAGAACUCAGUAAUAAGGCAGGCUAACUGUGAAGUGGUAUGGUGAUGUUUUUAGAAGAACAAAGGGAAGCACAAAUAUACUAGGUACACACCUUUUAUGUUGUAAGACUGCAGAGGGAAACUGAGGCAGCAUCUCCUAACUGCAUUAUUAUUUCUCCAGUGAAACAAUAUCCACACUAACUGCAACAAAUAAACACGGUAAGAAUAAAAAAUGAAAAACCUCACACCAAUCUAAGUUAUAAAGUGUAAAAAUAUUAAGUAUAAUAUUCAGUGUCAAACUCACUCAGACACAACUUUAGUUUUCAGAGGAUUUGCAAUUUCAGGAGUGCAGAUAAUGGAUUAUGAAUGAGCAGAUGAUCCACAAAAAUAGGAACCAGAAAGUAGAGACGAGAUUUUAGAUGUAGGCUCACGACUUACAAAUUUGUCUACGAUGCAGGGAAAAGUGCAAAUGUCUCCUAUGUUAGGCAUCAUUAACGACACCAGCCCUAGACACAAAGGGGAGGUUUUUCAAUAAAUUUCAAUUUAUUGUGCCCUGUGCUUUGUAACUACUCACUAUGCUAGAAGAUCGAAGAAAAACAAAGAGUAUCAGAGUUCCAAAAUAUGGUGAAACGAAGAUUUAAGAAAAGCCUAAAAUGACUGACUCUGAAAAGCAGCAUCAGGGAAGGCUCACCUAUGAGACGCUGACAUCAGAAUUACACUUGACAGAAGGACAAAACUUUGAACAAGGAAAUGAAGUAGGGGCAGAAGAAGAGGGCUGCCUAAAGACACAAUGUGAUGUCUUUAAAGGCCUGGACAAUGGCAAGUGACUUUUGAAUGGUAGUAUAGGAGUACCGGAAACUUUAUAAUUUUUAAGUUUUACUUACUUAUCACCAAGAAUAGGGAAGCGUAAGGUCAGUAAGAAAGAACAGAGAGUGAAAAAUACAAGAUGGAGAGCCAUUUGAGUGAGUGGUAAUGUAAUUAAGAGAUUACAUGAAGAAUACACCUGGAUCCAAGAACAGGACUAAGAAAACAAUUUUAAUUAAGGCAGGAGUUAGCUGAGGUACAAUAAAGAGCUGCCUAGUCUAGUACGUGAAAGAAUCAGAAAAUCAAAAUAGGUCACAGCUCCAGGGUAACGUGUUACUAGUAUCAUCCACCCUAUAAUCCCCAAGAAGGACGAGAGUAAAGAAGGCACAGUACCAGACCUUUUCAUGCCUUAUCUCAGAACUCUCAUUUAUAAUAUUCCUUCUGGGUUGCCAAGAGGCUUCUCUGUUUCUCAAGUCUGCCCACACUAACUUCCAGCUAAGUGAGGGUAUCGCAUGCGUCAUAUAAACUAAGAUGUAGCACGCACUUAUUCUAUUUAUGCAUUCAGAAAAAGUAAUCUUUACAGCCAAGUAAAACAAGCAGGUACAUGUACUGACUUGUCUUCUGCCAUUUAUGUAGCAGUUUCCUUGUAUGCUAACACCAUUGUUCACAGCUCUGCCAACACUUAGCACUGGCCAAUGUUUGAAAAUGGCACAAAAUACAACUUAACUUCCUUGUGUACUGAGUAUCAAGGAAAGGACUGACCAAAACACAAAAUUCCUUUAAAGAAUUUACUUAGUGUCUUUAAGGUAGAUGGCUUAUUAAAGAAUUAAACAAUACCAAUAAUACAUCUUUGAAAACUUCGUAUGUAAUUUUAAGCUUCACAUAACUAUAGUUUACUUCUUUUCUGAAACACUACUUUAUUUACCGAAGAGUAAGCUAGAAUGUAACAUUGUUAUUUUCAAAAUAUUCAUAGUUAGAAACUACCCUCUAAACAUAACACAGAUGCAUUCCAGGGAAAAAGAAAUAGGUACCUAUUUUUAACAUAUUUUCCUCAGUUUCAGUCAUGGUAAUCAUACCUGGCAAAAAUGUGUAUUUAUCCAAGCAGAGUUAACCCAGUGAAAAAUUUCAUUAUAUAAAAUCUGUAGAUAAAAGGAAUAACAAAAUGCUACUUGCUGGGUUUUUAAAAUAAGUGAGUAGAUUUUAGAAAGACUUUAUUUAAAUUCCUUAAUCUCUGCCAAAGUCUAGUUUACAGCAGUUGUCUGGAAAACAUUCUGCUGGUUAAUGCCAAAGAGCAAAUAGCAGGUCAAGUUUAAAACACAUGACUUCUUCCCUAAUUACAUUUAAGUAGCACACAGUGAGUGAAAAUAAGAUUCCUGGUCAGGAAGUGACUUUCUACAACACUAGAGAAAGGCUGAAUUCUCAAUCUUCAAAACCAAAAGCAAAGGAAAAUGAUAUUCAAGCUAUCAUUCAUCACCAGUCUGCUCCUCAUUUCUGUUCACAUUUUGGAAACAAUUUCAACAAUGACCUCAAAGCCUACAGAAAUCUCCAGUACCAGAAGCCACCUGAAUUCCAGCAUGAAUCUAAAUCCUAUGAGCAAGGCAAGUUCUACCUUCAAAUCUGAAAGGCCAAAUCUUACAACAUCAGUGAACACCAGUAUAUCUCUGACUUCCACGACGACUCCAAAUUCUAAGACAAUUUUGAAAUCAACAAUGACCUCACACACAACCAAAAAUAUGACUACAAAGACUGUGACAAAUUGUAGCACAAUACCCAAUCCAAAGCGUAACAUGCAAUUUCUUUUCUGUGUAAUAUUUUUGCUGGUUUUUGUAUAUUCAGGCUGACACAACUUGAACUGUCUGCAUUUUUAUCUCAGCUCUAUUACCUGCUGAAUAAUAAGCAUACUUGGAGAAUAAAUUGCUUACUACUUGAAUUGUAAGUAUUGUAGUAUAAUUUGGUGUCUUGCAAAUUUUAAGUGCAUAAGUUUAAAUAUUACCUUAAAAUGGUAGUUUCCUUCCUUAAAAAAGAAAAAGUAUGUACUAUCCUAUUAAAUGCCAAACUAAGCAAAAUA
Molecule: long non-coding RNA, 7938 nt
Organism: Cavia porcellus (domestic guinea pig)
Lineage: Eukaryota; Metazoa; Chordata; Mammalia; Rodentia; Caviidae
Exons: 2
Source: RefSeq, a predicted model, not a curated record